RNAcentral lists this long non-coding RNA (7513 nucleotides) under Zea mays. RNAcentral's name for it is "long non-coding RNA (ZMAY_LNC005627)". The record is from RNAcentral. Lineage: Eukaryota; Viridiplantae; Streptophyta; Magnoliopsida; Poales; Poaceae.
UCCUCGGCUGCCAUGCCUACGAGCGCGGCAAGGAAGACCACGUCGUACUUGCCGAGCUCGUCCGUCAUGUUGGCGACAUCGACCGUAUGGAAGGACAUGCGUGCGUUCAGGUCCUUGUCCGCAUGGACCAGCUUUCGCGCACGGUCGUUGGCGGCGCCGCACCGAUCGUAGUUGUCGAACAGUGUGUUGGGCAGGUGGCGUGCGGCGAGCACGAGCGAGCUGAACGGCAAGGGACCGGACCCGACGAAGGCGACACGGGAAGGCGCGAGCCCUGGGAUGUAGCGGACCAGGAGGUCGAACUCCAGCUUGCUCAGGUCGAUGUAGUUGCUGAAGUAGGGAAAGCGGCCGAGGUGGUCGAGCGGGUUGUCGAACGCGGCAAGCAUGUCGGCGUAGUGCGCCUCGAGGUGGCCCUCGGCGUCGGAGCAGAGGCGGAUGAGCUCCUCCCGCAUCCUCUGGCCAUCUGGGCUGAGCUUGGUCACGUCGACAGGGCUCGGCGGGACGCAGGCCAUGACGAGGCUGGUGAACAGCGCGUUGACGUCGGGGGACGGGCUCAGCGACGGCAGCUUGGCGAUGGCGGCGUGGAGGCCCGCGAUCUUCUGCACCAGGGCAGCAACCUCCCCGUUCUGUGCCUCCAUGGAAGUUGUGGUUGCUACGGUUGCAGUUGGGAAGCUGUUGCUGUGCGCAAGACGCAGCUGAUGAUAGCUUGAUCGAGCUCAAGAGCAGGCAAGUGUUCGACAACUUGGUGCUGCAAGCUUGACGAGAACUGGAACAGGGACUGAGGGUAUAUAUAGAAUAGAAUGUUACGGCAGUUCGCUCAUCAGUGUCUCUCUGAUCUGAUCUUCAGAAGUUCGGAUGCAGCAUGUCCAAUGCAUGGCGCGCUUCACGCGUCCAUGGCCAUGUGGCCAGUUUCAUGCCUCGUUAGUACCAUGACGUGGGAAUGUGCUGGAUCUUCAACACGUCCAUGUCACGCCCUUUAACUGAUGAAAGUGGUAACCCUGUUUCUUUUUUGUCCCCUCGUGAAGUGGGCUUGCAACGUCCAUAUCAUGACCUUGGUCGGGGUCGGGCACGAUCUCCACCGGAGAAUAAUUAAUCUUCUUUCUUUAUAACUAAUGAUAGAACUAUUAAAAUCAAAAUACAAGUUUUUUUUUAAAAAAAACUUAAUCAAGAAAACUGCUCCCUCAAUCACAACAAAGAAGUAGAGCAAACCAGUAUCUUGUCUUUUUCUCUCUAACGUUGACAUGGUCUACGUCACAUAGCUGCAACAAUCAAUAUAUACUAUACCUUUGUAGUUGAUAAUAUUAUAUCUAAAUUUAUUUAUAGGUCUAAUUAUUUAUUUUAAAUUCUUUAAAAAGAAUUCAAACAUAAAAAUAGAUCUAUAAAUGGUCUUUAAUAAAAAUUUGCCAAUUAGAAAAUUAUAGAUUAUGUUGAGAGAUAUAACUUUGGUGUAUACCAAGUCAACAUCAGAGGUCGUGUGAAAAAAAUAACAAAAAAUAAAUUAGAAAAAUAUAAAAACUUUAAAAGAAUAUUUAGGUCUCCCUUAGAUCAAAAAAAGUUAUCGAGUACAAGGUAUAAACUAUGUCAACAUUUGAGGCUAUUUAAAAAAAUAUUUUUAUAUUAAAUUUGGUAACUUAAACGCAUAUUUGAGUCUCUAAAAUAUAUUAAAUAAAAAAACUAUCAGCUAUAAAGUUGUGGAUAAUGUCAAACUCUACAUAUCUAUAUAAAAUUUAUAUUUAAUACAACUUCAUAUAGAAAAGCUAUGAUUUUUAUAUAAGAGAAAGAGAUCAAAUAAUAUGUGGGCUCCACUGCGACUUCUGCAAAAACACCCAACAAACCACUUUGAAAUGGUCAGUGGGGCAUUCUGUCUCAUUUUAAAAGAAGUUGUUGGACCAUCUUGAUGAAGAGAUCAGUCCAACAACAGUUGGAUCUGGCCAGGCUCUCCAGAUUCGCAAACCAAACAGACGGAGCGUGCACAAAGCCGUUCCUUGAGUUCUAGGACACGGGUGGUCCAUACAAUCUUUUAGAUUUGAUCGAUAUAUCAGGUACGAAUUGAAUCCUAUGGGCAAAUAUUUGUGGCUUGGAACUUCCACGUCUGUUGCACAAAGUCAAUAACUUCAGUUAGCAUACCCUUUAGAAUAGUCUUUAGUAACUGAAAAGAUGGCCAUAUGUCAAGUUGCAUAUGAUAAAAUGUACAUAGCAUCAAGUAGUCAAAAGUAUUAGCAAACAAAGCACAAACCAAACAUUAGAGACAAUCUUCCUAGCAUUUUUUAACAAUAAUAAACUCACAACUUUAUAUAAGUGGUUCACUAUUGUUGUCGUUUGUGGUGCAUUCUGCCAACCUCAAGAGUCGAUACAUAUGUUUUAUAUACAUGGUAGACAAAACAAUAAUUACAAUGAAGAAUCACACCUAAUCUAGGUAACCAUACAAAAUGAAGUUGAACCUUCAGAAAUGUACAACAAAACAAGCUAAUUGUUUCAUGCUCCAGUAGCGAAGUAGUGUUGAGUAUAAUUGCCUCAUGAGUGCAUAUAUGGUGGACUUUUGGUGAAAGACAUUGUUUUCACAUUUUUAGGGGGGUGCAACAAUCUAGCUACUACCUAGCUCCGCCCUUGAGUUUACGACAGAACACUUCGGUUCAUAGAUUUAGAACAAACCAAACCAUUUUGAUUCUUCUUGAUUUUCCUUUGAUGGUUCAUAGUAUGUUGGCUCCUCUUGGUUUGUAUAUCUUUUUGCGUAUUCUGGACCAUCUUCUGAUGCAUAUGACGAUGAUUCAUACUUAGGUUGGACAUGCAUGAACAUAUAUUUCAGUCCGCUUAUGACAUCAUAGAUCAUGAAUCCAAUUCUUCCUCCACCCUAGCUUUCGACAUGGCUUCCUGCAAGAUACCCCAGCUUCCCAAACUGCUCCUCACCAAGGAAACCACCCACAUAAGUUCCAAACAAGGCACCAGUGCCCCGAAGAAAACCUCCCAUCAUGCUUCCGCCAGAGUACAUUGCUUCGAAGAAGUCCCAACCACAAGAAAUUAUUGGCCCCAAUAUCCUAUUUGCUUGAGGAGCGGCAAUAUUUGUCGCUUUUGCACAAACCUUAUGAGCUUGUUUGGUUGCUUCACUUGUUAGGCCUUCUGCCACAUCAUCAGCUAAAGCUUUCCCCAUGGUUCGUUGUCGCACCAUUUCCAAGUGUGCACUUCGAAUGUUGUUGACGUACAACUUGACACCCUCCUUUGAUGUGGAUGCAAGUCUGCUAGAGCCCUUGUCAAAGCAGUUCAUGAAUGUGGAUUGACCACUCUUUGAUGCAGCCUCCUUUCCAACAAGUUCUCUGGACUUCUCAACUAUAAAGUAGAAGCCAAUGGGGGUCAUUCCAAGGAUAUAAUAAUGUUUGCUUUAAUAUGAAACGAUGAAUAUAUAGAAGCAGUCAAUUUGGAGAUGAAAAAGGAACUAAUAUCAAUGCAAUAAUGGCUUUCAAUAUUGAAUUAUCAAUGUGUUGUAUUCAAAUGUGGCUAUUAACACAUGGAGUGUGGCUCUACUAAGCAAGAGUUCUUUAUAUAGGGUACCCCUUUAAAUAGACCCAUUGGGUCAGUAGUACGAUAAAACUUUAGAUCUCAUAAAGCAAACUGGUAAACUUGUGCAAUUAAAAUUUCAUCAUAUCCAACAUGAUUUACAAUCUAGCAAAUUAUCAGCCAUUACUGACCCAGUUGAAACACAAUGCAUUGUCACUUACUCCUAGGUUUUUAGUGAAGUGUACAUAUCAUGCUAUGCUACCGCCAAUACUAAGACUUCUGAUUGUGUUGUUUGACAUAUGCAUACAAAAUAUCUGCUUGUGAAUCCGUAACUUAAGGCGAGUCAUAGUAAAACGAACAAUGCUCGAUAAGAAGCUGACAACAGGAGAACUUGUAACACUGAAACUCACUGGUUUUCUACAAAACUUAUAAGCUACCUAGUUAUUUCUCUUCACUAUGGAAACCCUAUUUGAACAGGUGGCAAUUGGCCCAAGUCCUGUAGGAUAUGGAUCUCAAAAGCCCUAGAAUGCAGAGUCAGGGAUGAAUGUGGGUACGUCCGUACAUGACCGAGGCUCAUGCUACACUCCUGAGGUACCUUAGGACAUGUCCGAGACCUAUAGGAACGAUUUAUAAUGGUAUCCCACCGGAGGGAGGCAUCGAGCCAUCAGAUCCUAUCAAAUGGGUCUGGGUCCAGCGAAUCACUUGCAUGUACAUUGGGGUGCGUCUCCGGACCAGUAGCCGACCCCUAUCGAACCUGGCUCAGGCCUCCACUCGGACUACCCACUAAUAGCUGACCCAGGAAACGUCGUGCUCGUUACCCACCGAGGGUAGCAUGACACUUUCCCCUCUUCCUCCUUGCGGAAAGGCGACGUAAGAGGCGUAUCAUCAAAAGUCAAGACAUUCUCUGAUCGUUCUCUUGCCCUGUGUAGAGGCUCGGGGGCUGCCCUUGCACCUAAACUUUGGCCAAGUUGUUUGUAGAAUCAACAGGUCAACAAAGCCCAUAGAAGAGAACAUAAAGACCUAGAAUAACUAACCACUCCUCUGAGGCCUCGAGGGCUACACCCUACGGGUGCGCUCGCGUGCACCCAUCAAAAAAAUCUACCAACUCUCAAAAAUCCGGCAAAACGCCUAGAAGGUUCAGCAGAACCUCCAAGCGAGUGCCUACACUCCCUUGAAGGUUCGAGGGCUACUAUCGGGUACCAUAAUUAGAGGUACCCAGAGCACCCCUUAAGUGCCCAGAUGCUUGAGUAAGAAGGGAUCAUAAGCAAAUACGCCCCAAACCUUACCAAGGCACGAGGGACCUAAGUCACGACUUGCCCGAGGCCAACCCCAGGCGGGAGACAUAGUCACGACUCGCCUGAGGCCAACCUCGGGCGGGAGAUGUAGUCACGGCUCGUUCGAGGCCAACCUCGGGUGGGAGACGUAGUCACGACUCGCCCAAGGCCAACCCCAGAUGUGCAGCACAUUUUUUACUCGCCCGAGGGCGUCUCAGGCGAUGCUCCGGAAGGUGCCCACAUUGGCCAGCCACUCUUUGCGUCUGUACGUUCACCUGCCCCGCUAAAGGUGCCAAAGUCAACAAAGGACAACACGACUACGGUCUAAUCUACCUUUACCGCCCACUACGACGGUCAGGGCGCGAAUAUGGGGCAUCGUUCCCCCAUUCUGACCUCUGUUUCAACCACUCUGAGCGUGACUACAUGUAACAUCUAAUCUCGGCCUCUGCCUCCAGAGAAAUCUUCACCUCACCCGAGCUCGACCUCAGCCAACUGCCCAGUAGGAGAGCACGCGCAUUAAUUGCCACCUACUCUCCCGCGAACCUCACAAAAGACCAUGCCAAGCACUAUUUCAACCACUCCGACUCGACACACUUGGAAAAUGUCUCAUCCGCACCCUGUACAAGCUAGGGUUCGGGCGUCUGCCCAUGCCCCCGAACCCAGCCUUGGCUCUCUACCAAGUCAAAGGAACAUGCUAUAGGGAUCGGGCGUGCUUCUCCUGACCAAAAGACGACACAAGGACGAGGGCGAUCCCAUCGACCAUGCCGCUACUGGGCUCGGACACAUCUCCUCUGACCACAACAACAACAUAACAACCAUGUACUCCUGGGCCUCCUCCUUGCGACUAUAAAAGGAGGAGCCCGGGGCCUUCUAUGGGGACUUCACGGCUCACGACUCACCUCACUCCUGAUAUUGGUGCUCGCCUCAAUCAUACUCAGAGGCUAGGGAUUCACUCCCUCUCUUGACUACUUGUAUCCUCUACUAUGAGCACUUAGGUGCGAGAUAAUACAAGUCUCCCUUCCCUGGAAGUAGAGUCUUCUCUUGCCCGAACCAGGAUAAAUCUUAUGUGUCUUCUUGCAUCAACUAUCCGAGACAAAGACACGCAACACAAAUUUACUAGUUGGUUAGGACCAUCGGGUCAAAACACCGACAUAAGUAAAUGCACCUUUUUUCUUUUAAAAUCAGUAUUGGUACAUACAAAAAUACUUAUGUAUCUUCUGAUGCAGCACGAAUACUGGAAGUGUCAAUUCAAUGAGUGGUUCUAUGGAUCUAGAUCUCAUUGGCUAGAGUCAAAGCAGAAGGAGAAAGAGAAGGAGCAUCUGCAAGCCCUUCUGUAAACGGCAGUCCUAUUGGAUAGAUUUGAAGUUAAGGAUAUGAUGAGGCAGAGGUUCUGCUUGUCUACAAGUUUAGAUGUGGAUCUUACUCCUCGAUUACUACCUUAAGACCACAAGAAGGAGGAGCGUUGUUUCACAAUGCAAUUGGGUUUACAUUACCUGAUACAUCUAUGUAUCCUAGAAUGGUUUGCACAGGAGAAGUGAAAGCGGUUGUCUAUCGUGAAAAUGAAGAGCAGAGAGCAACGAAGGUAGAAAAAGUUCAAAUGCAAAUCAUGUUUAGGCAACAAAACUUGAUGAAACUAUACAAGCUUCUAAAGCAAAAUUUUGCAACUUAAAAUCUUCUUAGGCAUAUUCUUGUUUGGUGGAACUAAGGACAUAAUCUUGACUUCGCCACUUGCAUAUUUUCUUAUUAUGUAACGUGCAUUGAAAGCAAAAUGAGUAGUAUGCUUGGGCAAUGGACUUUUUGGAGUUUUAGUGGUGGAGCAUUGUAAUUAUGAGCAGAGUGUCCUUCUGACGAGAAUACAUUUACCAUUUUUGAACAAAGGGAGUAGUUUGUAAGGCAUGUUUUGAAGAUGGACCAACUAAUUCCUGUAAAACAAAAUUGAUAUGACUGAGAAGAUGAUAAAUCCACCCCUUCCUCAAACUUAGUUGGCACAUCAGUCAUGUAAAAAGUGCUGGCAACAUGGCAUAAUCAUCACAUAGGAAGAACACGUUCUUAUUAAACACUUCACAACACAUGACAUCAAAUAAAGAAGUGCAGACGAACAGUUACACGAGAGAUUCAGAGACACAAGUCACGCAACAACGAUUUGUAACUAUUGUUACCAUGCGCAGGUCCUCAAAAGUUCCUUACAUCAGAUGGACAACUCGGUCGUGGUCGUCAUCUCCUGCCUCUUCUGGAGCGUAUUGGCCUCCAUCUUGCAGCACUUGCACGGCGGGCUCACUAUCGGCACCGUGCCGCGUGCAUGCGCGUGUCCAUUCUGAAGCCCCUUGGCGUGGGCGUCCAUCUUACGCGCGAUGAUGACGGAGUUGACGACCUCGUUGUCCGGGUGGUACACGGCAAGCACGUCGAACCCGCCGCGACGGAUGUCCUCAGGAUCGACGAUCGGGUAGAGGAAGGCGCGAGCCCCGUGGGCGCUGCGCACGACGAGAGCCGCUCCAUCAGUCAUGUGCCUGCCAAGAUGCGCCACCACCUUAGCCUUGUCCUCGGCCGCCAUGCCUACGAGCGCGGCAAGGAAGACCACGUCGUACUUGUCGAGCUCGUCCGUCAUGUUGGCGACAUCGACCGUAUGGAAGGACAUGCGUGCGUUCAGGUCCUUGUCCGCACGGACCAGCUUCCGCGCACGGUCGUUAGCGGCGCCGCACCGAUCGUAGUUGUCGAACAGUGUGUUGGGCAGGUGGCGUGCGGCGAGCACG